Molecule: ribosomal RNA, 404 nt
Filed under: uncultured Prevotella sp.
Lineage: Bacteria; Pseudomonadati; Bacteroidota; Bacteroidia; Bacteroidales; Prevotellaceae
Description: bacterial SSU rRNA
Rfam family: Bacterial small subunit ribosomal RNA
Source: RNAcentral
CCUACGGGAGGCAGCAGUGGGGAAUCUUCCGCAAUGGACGAAAGUCUGACGGAGCAACGCCGCGUGAGUGAAGAAGGUUUUCGGAUCGUAAAACUCUGUUGUUAGAGAAGAACAAGUGCUAGAGUAACUGUUAGCGCCUUGACGGUAUCUAACCAGAAAGCCACGGCUAACUACGUGCCAGCAGCCGCGGUAAUACGUAGGUGGCAAGCGUUGUCCGGAUUUAUUGGGCGUAAAGCGAGCGCAGGCGGUUAGAUAAGUCUGAAGUUAAAGGCUGUGGCUUAACCAUAGUACGCUUUGGAAACUGUUUAACUUGAGUGCAGAAGGGGAGAGUGGAAUUCCAUGUGUAGCGGUGAAAUGCGUAGAUAUAUGGAGGAACACCGGUGGCGAAAGCGGCUCUCUGGUCU